CCCGAGACUCAGUGAAAUUGAACUCGCUGUGAAGAUGCAGUGUACCCGCGGCAAGACGGAAAGACCCCGUGAACCUUUACUAUAGCUUGACACUGAACAUUGAGCCUUGAUGUGUAGGAUAGGUGGGAGGCUUUGAAGUGUGGACGCCAGUCUGCAUGGAGCCGACCUUGAAAUACCACCCUUUAAUGUUUGAUGUUCUAACGUUGACCCGUAAUCCGGGUUGCGGACAGUGUCUGGUGGGUAGUUUGACUGGGGCGGUCUCCUCCUAAAGAGUAACGGAGGAGCACGAAGGUUGGCUAAUCCUGGUCGGACAUCAGGAGGUUAGUGCAAUGGCAUAAGCCAGCUUGACUGCGAGCGUGACGGCGCGAGCAGGUGCGAAAGCAGGUCAUAGUGAUCCGGUGGUUCUGAAUGGAAGGGCCAUCGCUCAACGGAUAAAAGGUACUCCGGGGAUAACAGGCUGAUACCGCCCAAGAGUUCAUAUCGACGGCGGUGUUUGGCACCUCGAUGUCGGCUCAUCACAUCCUGGGGCUGAAGUAGGUCCCAAGGGUAUGGCUGUUCGCCAUUUAAAGUGGUACGCGAGCUGGGUUUAGAACGUCGUGAGACAGUUCGGUCCCUAUCUGCCGUGGGCGCUGGAGAACUGAGGGGGGCUGCUCCUAGUACGAGAGGACCGGAGUGGACGCAUCACUGGUGUUCGGGUUGUCAUGCCAAUGGCACUGCCCGGUAGCUAAAUGCGGAAGAGAUAAGUGCUGAAAGCAUCUAAGCACGAAACUUGCC
RNAcentral lists this ribosomal RNA (774 nucleotides) under Escherichia coli. RNAcentral describes it as "partial 23S ribosomal RNA". It matches the Rfam family "Bacterial large subunit ribosomal RNA", at positions 2025 to 2798 of the family's 2925-position model. The record is from RNAcentral. Lineage: Bacteria; Pseudomonadati; Pseudomonadota; Gammaproteobacteria; Enterobacterales; Enterobacteriaceae.